CAGACUUAAAAAAAAAAAAAAAAAAAUCGUCACAGCUACCCCAACCUUCAGCAACCAGCACCCUAACCAGUCAGCAGCCAUCAACAUCAAGGCAGGACCCUCUACCGGCAAAAGGAUUACAACUUGCUCAAGGCUCAGAUGAUCAUUAGGGUUGCAGAGAGCUGAGAUCGUGCAAUUGCACUCCAGCCUGGGUGACAGAGUGAGACUCCUUUUCAAAAAAAAAAAAAAAAAAAAAAAAGAAGAGUUUUCCAGUCAAAGCAAAGCCAUUAGGGAAAAGGCAUCAAUCAAAAAAGUAAAGAGAACAGAGUUAUAAAGCCUCAAACAUUUGAGGGUAGGAGGUGAGGAUGAAAGAGGCACAGAGGGCUGAGGAGGGCUGGAACUCUAUCCUGAAGGUGAAAUGGAGUCACUGGAAGCAUUGGGCAUUACUGGCCACAAUGGAGAGAAUGGAGGUGGUAGAAUUUGGGGUGGAUUUGGAGGGAGGAGGGAGGUGGACAUCUAGCAUGGUCCCAGUUGUUUAUCCUCCACCCCUAUAAGGCACAGAGCACAGCAUGUUCUCUGCACAAAGGAAGUACUUGACAAAAGUGGCUGGCCAAUGGUUUCCUUUUCUUGCUUUAGCCUCAAGGAAAGGGUAAGCCUCAGGUCCC
Molecule: long non-coding RNA, 644 nt
Filed under: Pan troglodytes (chimpanzee)
Lineage: Eukaryota; Metazoa; Chordata; Mammalia; Primates; Hominidae
Description: long non-coding RNA NONPTRT014509
Source: RNAcentral